AGGAACCAAAACGGCACAAAACAGGCUUCUUAUGAAGAUGUAAAGGACAAAUUUUGCGUCAUGAUUAAUCUACAGCGGUCAAGUAGAUGGAGGUCUGCCGACGGUCAGGCGUAGAGUGAUGCUGCUUACACUCCACGAUGGGUACACUUCACCCAUCUGGACUUCCUGGAGGACACUUAGACCAUGGUAAAGCUAGGACGAUAUGGCCACACCUUCAUCUCCAACUACAAGACCACUUUUCAGGAAGUUGAUAAAAUGCACAAUGAGCCCAGAAGACCCCUCCCACCCUCUGCAGUGCAACCACCAGUCCAAGCACAAAGUGGGUCAAGUCCAGAUGGAGAGACACCCCAGACCUCCAGAAGGAGAGUCCAUCCCAGUGGGAAUAAUCAGGCGAAGGAGGUAUCAGCCACCGAGUCCGAUCCGUCUGCAGUUGUUGGGAUGCUACCAACACUUCAAUCGAUGGCCGAAAGUGGACAUCCAGCAACUGCUGAAAUAUCUUUUUCAAUAUUUAAAUAGCGAGUGAGAAUUUGAGAGAGCAGAGAUAUUGAAAUGGUGAGUAAUGUUUGUAUGUGUUCAUUGUGCAUACAUGAUUAAAUCGAUUAACCUACA
Molecule: long non-coding RNA, 609 nt
Filed under: Salmo trutta (river trout)
Lineage: Eukaryota; Metazoa; Chordata; Actinopteri; Salmoniformes; Salmonidae
Description: lncRNA (ENSSTUG00000029236.1)
Source: RNAcentral